UACAGAGGUGGCAAGCGUUGUUCGGAAUUACUGGGCGUAAAGGGCGCGUAGGCGGCCAUCUAAGUCAGACGUGAAAUCCCCCGGCUUAACCUGGGAACUGCGUCUGAUACUGGACGGCUCGAGUAUGGGAGAGGGAUGUAGAAUUCCAGGUGUAGCGGUGAAAUGCGUAGAUAUCUGGAGGAAUACCGGUGGCGAAGGCGGUUCUCUGGGCAUUACCUGACGCUGAGGAGCGAAAGUGUGGGGAGCGAACAGG
RNAcentral lists this ribosomal RNA (253 nucleotides) under uncultured bacterium. Its description in RNAcentral is "partial 16S ribosomal RNA". It matches the Rfam family "Bacterial small subunit ribosomal RNA", at positions 524 to 776 of the family's 1533-position model. The record is from RNAcentral.